UCUAAUAUGGCAGAAAUAAUGCAUUAGAUUUAAACUCUAAAUAUUUAUAAUUUAAUUUAUCUUAUUAGAA
RNAcentral lists this transfer RNA (70 nucleotides) under Tremex columba (pigeon tremex). Its description in RNAcentral is "tRNA-Leu". The record is from RNAcentral. Lineage: Eukaryota; Metazoa; Arthropoda; Insecta; Hymenoptera; Siricidae.